Molecule: ribosomal RNA, 509 nt
Filed under: uncultured bacterium
Lineage: Bacteria
Description: partial 16S ribosomal RNA
Rfam family: Bacterial small subunit ribosomal RNA
Source: RNAcentral
GACGAACGCUGGCGGCGUGCUUAACACAUGCAAGUCGAACGGAAAGGCCCUGCUUUUGUGGGGUGCUCGAGUGGCGAACGGGUGAGUAACACGUGAGUAACCUGCCCUUGACUUUGGGAUAACUUCAGGAAACUGGGGCUAAUACCGGAUAGGAGCUCCUGCUGCAUGGUGGGGGUUGGAAAGUUUCGGCGGUUGGGGAUGGACUCGCGGCUUAUCAGCUUGUUGGUGGGGUAGUGGCUUACCAAGGCUUUGACGGGUAGCCGGCCUGAGAGGGUGACCGGACACGGGGGGAGACGGAGGCCGCGCAGGCGGGUGCGGCAGGAAGGAGUGGGGAAGAUUCAACAGCGGGCGGAAGGAUGAUGCGGCGACGCGGGGUGCGGGAGGGCGGCCUGGGGUUUGUAAACCGGUUGGGCGGGGGGGGAAGGGUGAGGGACGGAAAGGAGUAAAGAAGCACCGGCGAACUACGGGCAAGCAGCGGGGGUAGUACGGGGACGAGCACACGUCAGAAC